Molecule: long non-coding RNA, 690 nt
Organism: Harpia harpyja (harpy eagle)
Lineage: Eukaryota; Metazoa; Chordata; Aves; Accipitriformes; Accipitridae
Exons: 2
Source: RefSeq, a predicted model, not a curated record
GGGUGUUUAGUUCUCCCGGCCGUGCAGAUUGAGCUUUGCGAAGAGGUCUUGCUUCUACCAAGCAGCGUAUCGCUCACGUUAAUGACCGAAACCAUUAACCAAAAAAAACCCAACCCCAAAAACCAAUCCCCCAAAAAACAGGCGGUAAAAUGAACCCCGAUUUGCAGUAUUCCUGCUCAAACUAUCCUACCAGAAUUCUUUCUUACCAUAACUUAAUCUAAAUGUAAUGCCUUUGCUCCCCAAACCAUCGCAGUUAUUAACUGUGACUCUUGCGAUGGGCUCUGUGUGCAAUAGACGACUCUGCCAACAUACGCUUACAAAUCUGCUGCGGUCGCUGCCCCGUGUCUGGAAGGCAGAAGCGUGAUCUGGCUGGAGAUUUUAAUUCACCGGCGGGGGGGGGGUGGGGGGUGGGUGGGAUUAAAAGAAUUUUGAGGACAGAAAACCUCAAAGUGUUUAUGAAAAACAGAGAUUCAUUACUGAGGCAGCUGAUGUCUAGCCUGAGAUGUGUUUGUGUUCUAAUGGACUUCAUUUUAAUGGUGGCUGUAAGGGAAUGAGGCGGACAGCUGAUUUCAUCAUAAAAGCUUCAGUAAAUUUGCUCUGUGCAUCUCCUGUAUCAGUUGUGUAGGAGGACAUUACUCAGUUGUGUCAACUUGGCAAAUACCAAAAUAAAUAAGAAAAAUAAAACCAAAA